UUUCCGUAGGUGAACCUGCGGAAGGAUCAUUAAUGAAUUCUGAAAGGGGUUGUAGCUGGCCGUUUCGUUUGAGCGGCAUGUGCACGCCCUGAUCAUUAUCCAUCUCACACACCUGUGCACAUACUGUAGGUCGGCUUUUGAUUGGAGUGGGGUCUUCAUCGACUCUGCUUUUUAGUUGGGGCCUUCCUAUGUUUUAUCACACACUAUUUCAGUUAAAAGAAUGUCCUCUUGCGUCUAACGCAUUUAAAUACAACUUUCAGCAACGGAUCUCUUGGCUCUC
This 280-nucleotide unclassified non-coding RNA is filed under the name plant metagenome. Its description in RNAcentral is "partial contains small subunit ribosomal RNA, internal transcribed spacer 1, and 5.8S ribosomal RNA". The record is from RNAcentral.